GUUUUGCUUAUAACUUUAGGUUGAAAGUUAUGUUGACUGUGUUUUUUCUCAAUAUCUGAAGUAAAAUAAUAAAUUUCUAUUAGUCUCCUAAAUAUAUCAUAAAAGUUUCUUAUUUAAGAUGAAAUUUAAUUCACAGAUUUCUACCAGUGGACGAGUACCAGUUAAAAAAAAAAAAGGAGAUGGAAGUGAAAUACAGAAGAUUAUGAAUUUCUAAGUUGUCACAAUUCAAAGAAUACCUUACCUGAUUUGCAUCCUAUUUUUAGAAAAGCUUUUCAUCAACCCCCAAUUUACCUCAACACUGGGGUCUCAAAAUCAGAAGAAACUGUAUAUCUAUGGCACGAAUCAUUGGAGUAUUUGAGCACAUAGAAAUGAUUAAAGAUACAUCAAAAUUACUUCUAGAAGCCUAGAUACUGCCACUGGUGGCUCAGAGUUUCAGUCCAGGUCUCAGUUUGCACCAGUGUUAGGAGUGACAGCAGGGCAUCCAAACACUGAACAGCACUGGGAGCUGAAGGGUCCUUUCACUCAUGGAGACCAUUUGUAAGCUCUUCUGACAGUGAGACUCAGAUGGGCCAUGUGAACAGCAGCAGCACAAUAGACUCCAGAGCAUGCCUAAGGAAAUUAUGGUUGUGAAGGUCAACCCUAACCAGAGCAGGGACUUGCUUUUAUGCUUGUCCUGAUGAAAAAUAUAUUUCUACGUCCCAAAUGUCAGGACAGGUCCUCUACAGUAAAGAAAGCUCUUCACAACUGCCAUACUUGUCAGCUAGUCAAAUAAUCCAAGAUGUGACCCUGGCUUAAUUUUAGUGUAAGGUCUCAAUGCUAACUCUAAUUAUUAUGUCUUACCUGGAUCACAUGACAAAUGCCCAAUGCCCAACAGAUAAAUGCAAUGUCCAACUAUUUUGCUGGUGAUGGCACUUCUGGAAGCCUGAAUAUAUUUACUGCUUUUGGCUGUGAUCGUUAAUUUUCUUCAUAGUAGCUU
Non-coding RNA from Phalacrocorax carbo (great cormorant), 976 nucleotides. The record is from RefSeq and is a predicted model, not a curated record. Lineage: Eukaryota; Metazoa; Chordata; Aves; Suliformes; Phalacrocoracidae.